RNAcentral lists this ribosomal RNA (492 nucleotides) under uncultured bacterium. RNAcentral's name for it is "partial 16S ribosomal RNA". It matches the Rfam family "Bacterial small subunit ribosomal RNA", at positions 29 to 507 of the family's 1533-position model. The record is from RNAcentral.
AGUGAACGCUGGCGGUAGGCCUAACACAUGCAAGUCGAACGGCAGCACAGUAAGAGCUUGCUCUUCCGGGUGGCGAGUGGCGGACGGGUGAGGAAUACAUCGGAAUCUACUUUUUCGUGGGGGAUAACGUAGGGAAACUUACUCUAAUACCGCAUACGACCUACGGGGGAAAGCAGGGGAUCUUCGGACCUUGCGCGGUUGAAUGAGCCGAUGUCGGAUUAGCUGGUUGGCAGGGUAAAGGCCCACCAAGGCGACGAUCCGUAGCUGGUCUGAGAGGCUGAUCAGCCACGCUGGAACUGAGACACGGUCCAGACUCCUACGGGAGGCAGCAGUGGGGAAUAUUGGACAAUGGGCGCAAGCCUGAUCCAGCCAUACCGCGUGGGUGAAGAAGGCCUUCGGGUUGUAAAGCCCUUUUGUUGGGAAAGAAAAGCAGCAGGUUAAUACCCCGCUGUUCUGACGGUACCCAAAGAAUAAGCACCGGCUAACUUCGUG